UGGGGGGUCGUCCAAUGGCAGGACAUCAGGUUUUGGUCCUGAGAAUCGGGGUUCGAAUCCCUGCCCCCCAGCUA
Molecule: transfer RNA, 74 nt
Filed under: Actinomycetes bacterium
Lineage: Bacteria; Bacillati; Actinomycetota; Actinomycetes
Description: Actinobacteria bacterium tRNA-Gln
Rfam family: tRNA
About the family: Transfer RNA (tRNA) molecules are approximately 80 nucleotides in length.
Source: RNAcentral